AACGAACGCUGGCGGCAUGCCUAACACAUGCAAGUCGAACGAGAUCUUCGGGUCUAGUGGCGCACGGGUGCGUAACGCGUGGGAAUCUGCCCUUUGGUUCGGAAUAGCAGUUGGAAACGACUACUAAUACCGGAUGAUGACGAAAGUCCAAAGAUUUAUCGCCAGAGGAUGAGCCCGCGUAGGAUUAGCUAGUUGGUGUGGUAAGGGCGCACCAAGGCGACGAUCCUUAGCUGGUCUGAGAGGAUGAUCAGCCACACUGGGACUGAGACACGGCCCAGACUCCUACGGGAGGCAGCAGUGGGGAAUAUUGGACAAUGGGCGAAAGCCUGAUCCAGCAAUGCCGCGUGAGUGAUGAAGGCCUUAGGGUUGUAAAGCUCUUUUACCCGGGAUGAUAAUGACAGUACCGGGAGAAUAAGCUCCGGCUAACUCCGUGCCAGCCGCCGCCGUAA
Molecule: ribosomal RNA, 449 nt
Filed under: uncultured bacterium
Lineage: Bacteria
Description: partial 16S ribosomal RNA
Rfam family: Bacterial small subunit ribosomal RNA
Source: RNAcentral